This 334-nucleotide RNase P RNA is filed under the name Dichelobacter nodosus. RNAcentral describes it as "bacterial RNase P". It matches the Rfam family "Bacterial RNase P class A". Rfam says of the family: Ribonuclease P (RNase P) is a ubiquitous endoribonuclease, found in archaea, bacteria and eukarya as well as chloroplasts and mitochondria. The record is from RNAcentral. RNAcentral also lists the same sequence under 1 other name. Lineage: Bacteria; Pseudomonadati; Pseudomonadota; Gammaproteobacteria; Cardiobacteriales; Cardiobacteriaceae.
UGAGUUUGCCAGACAAUCGCUGACGAAAGUUGGAGGAAAGUCCGGGCUUUAUAGGGCAAAGCGCUGGGUAACGCCCAGGCAGCGUGAGCUGACGGAAAGUGCCACAGAAAAGAUACCGCCUCGAUUGAGGUAAGGGUGAAAUGGUGCGGUAAGAGCGCACCGCAUUUGCGGCAACGUAAAUGGCAGGGAAAACCCCGCUUAAAGCAAGACCAAAUAGAGAAUCAAUGCGGCGGCCCGUCGUGAUUCUGGGUAGGUCGCUAGAGGCUGGCAGUAAUGUUAGUCGCAGAGGAAUGAUUGUCCACGACAGAACCCGGCUUAUCGGUGAACUCAUCUU